GACGAACGCUGGCGGCGUGCUUAACACAUGCAAGUCGAACGCUGAAGCUUGGUGCUUGCACUGGGUGGAUGAGUGGCGAACGGGUGAGUAAUACGUGAGUAACCUGCCCUUGACUCUGGGAUAAGCCUGGGAAACUGGGUCUAAUACCGGAUACGACAUGUCACCGCAUGGUGGUGUGUGGAAAGGGUUUUACUGGUUUUGGAUGGGCUCACGGCCUAUCAGCUUGUUGGUGGGGUAAUGGCUCACCAAGGCGACGACGGGUAGCCGGCCUGAGAGGGUGACCGGCCACACUGGGACUGAGACACGGCCCAGACUCCUACGGGAGGCAGCAGUGGGGAAUAUUGCACAAUGGGCGGAAGCCUGAUGCAGCGACGCCGCGUGAGGGAUGACGGCCUUCGGGUUGUAAACCUCUUUCAGCACGGAAGAAGCGAAAGUGACGGUACGUGCAGAAGAAGCGCCGGCUAACUACGUG
This 472-nucleotide ribosomal RNA is filed under the name uncultured bacterium. RNAcentral's name for it is "partial 16S ribosomal RNA". It matches the Rfam family "Bacterial small subunit ribosomal RNA", at positions 28 to 507 of the family's 1533-position model. The record is from RNAcentral.